UGUGAUUAAAUGUAAGAUGCAUAUUGAAUUUUGAAUUCAGAAGGUGAGUUUAAUUCUUAAAUUCACAA
Molecule: transfer RNA, 68 nt
Filed under: Thampoa tiani
Lineage: Eukaryota; Metazoa; Arthropoda; Insecta; Hemiptera; Cicadellidae
Description: tRNA-Gln
Source: RNAcentral